RNAcentral lists this ribosomal RNA (450 nucleotides) under uncultured bacterium. RNAcentral describes it as "partial 16S ribosomal RNA". It matches the Rfam family "Bacterial small subunit ribosomal RNA", at positions 338 to 795 of the family's 1533-position model. The record is from RNAcentral.
CCUACGGGCUGCUGCAGUGGGGAAUAUUGGACAAUGGGCGCAAGCCUGAUCCAGCAAUGCCGCGUGUGUGAAGAAGGCCUGCGGGUUGUAAAGCACUUUGAGUGGGGAAGAAGGCCUGGGGGUUAAUAGCUUCUGGGAUUGACGUUACCCACAGAACAAGCAACGGCUAACUCCGUGCCAGCAGCCGCGGUAAUACGGAGGGUGCGAGCGUUAAUCGAAGUUACUGGGGGUAAAGCGAGCGGUCUCGGUUGAAAGCCCUGGGCUUAACCUGGGAACUGCAUUGGAUACUGUUUGACUGGAGUGUGGUAGAGGGGUGUGGAAUUUCCGGUGUAGCAGUGAAAUGCGUAGAGAUCGGAAGGAACACCAGUGGCGAAGGCGGCACCCUGGACCGACACUGACGCUGAGGUGCGAAAGCGUGGGGAGCAAACAGGAUUAGAUACCCGAGUAGUC